This 441-nucleotide ribosomal RNA is filed under the name uncultured bacterium. RNAcentral's name for it is "partial 16S ribosomal RNA". It matches the Rfam family "Bacterial small subunit ribosomal RNA", at positions 338 to 795 of the family's 1533-position model. The record is from RNAcentral.
CCUACGGGUGGCAGCAGUGGGGAAUAUUGCGCAAUGGGCGAAAGCCUGACGCAGCGACGCCGCGUGAGGGAUGAAGGUCUUCGGAUCGUAAAGCUCUAUCAGCAGGGAAGAAAAAAGACGGUACCUGACUAAGAAGCCCCGGCUAACUACGUGCCAGCAGCCGCGGUAAUACGUAGGGGGCAAGCGUUAUCCGGAUUUACUGGGUGUAAAGGGAGCGUAGACGGCAAUACAAGUCGGAAGUGAAAUACCCGGGCUCAACCUGGGAAUUGCUUUGGAAACUGUAUGGCUGGAGUGCUGGAGAGGUAAGCGGAAUUCCUAGUGUAGCGGUGAAAUGCGUAGAUAUUAGGAGGAACACCAGUGGCGAAGGCGGCUUACUGGACAGUAACUGACGUUGAGGCUCGAAAGCGUGGGGAGCAAACAGGAUUAGAUACCCGAGUAGUC